GAUGAAGAACGUAGCGAAAUGCGAUAAGUAAUGUGAAUUGCAGAUUUCCAGUGAAUCAUCGAAUCUUUGAACGCACAUUGCGCCCCUCGGUAUUCCGUGGGGCAUGCCUGUUCGAGCGUCAUUUAACCCCUCAAGCCUAGCUUGGUAUUGGGAGCUUGUCCCGCCUCUCGCGCGGCGACUCACCUCAAAGUCAUUGGCAGCCCGCAUCUCGCCGGCCGUGAGCGCAGCACAGACGCGCUCUUGGCAACGACGGAUCGGCUCUCCAAAAGCUUAUUUCAACCACUGACCUCGGAUCAGGUAGGGAUACCCGCUGAACUUAAGCAUAUCAAAAGCGGAGGA
RNAcentral lists this unclassified non-coding RNA (339 nucleotides) under soil metagenome. RNAcentral describes it as "partial contains 5.8S ribosomal RNA, internal transcribed spacer 2, and large subunit ribosomal RNA". The stretch from base 1 to 121 matches the Rfam family "5.8S ribosomal RNA", at positions 35 to 154 of the family's 154-position model. The record is from RNAcentral.